Molecule: non-coding RNA, 46 nt
Organism: Danio rerio (zebrafish)
Lineage: Eukaryota; Metazoa; Chordata; Actinopteri; Cypriniformes; Danionidae
Source: Rfam
CCAAAGGCUCUUUUAAGAGCCACCCAUAUUCUCCUUUAAAGAGUUU